CAAAGGGGUGCUGCUUUUGCGGCUGAGACCGGUGGACCGGAACCCAUAGAACCUGUUCGGAUAAUGCCGGCGUAGGGAACAUAAAU
RNAcentral lists this non-coding RNA (86 nucleotides) under bovine gut metagenome. Its description in RNAcentral is "TPP riboswitch (THI element)". The stretch from base 4 to 78 matches the Rfam family "TPP riboswitch aptamer (THI element)", at positions 11 to 88 of the family's 105-position model. Rfam says of the family: Vitamin B(1) in its active form thiamin pyrophosphate (TPP) is an essential coenzyme that is synthesised by coupling of pyrimidine and thiazole moieties in bacteria. The previously detected thiamin-regulatory element, thi box was extended, resulting in a new, highly conserved RNA secondary structure, the THI element, which is widely distributed in eubacteria and also occurs in some archaea. The record is from RNAcentral.